RNAcentral lists this small RNA (109 nucleotides) under Staphylococcus aureus. RNAcentral's name for it is "HMPRNC0000_0061". Lineage: Bacteria; Bacillati; Bacillota; Bacilli; Caryophanales; Staphylococcaceae. The record is from RNAcentral.
UUGGUUAAGGUACAUACAUGGCCUAUAGCCUAACUUGAAAUUUGUUCGUUUAGCUUUUUUACAUCUUUCAUCUAUUUUUUGUUACACCUGUUCGGUCGGAUUUUAAAAU